This 429-nucleotide ribosomal RNA is filed under the name uncultured bacterium. RNAcentral's name for it is "bacterial SSU rRNA". It matches the Rfam family "Bacterial small subunit ribosomal RNA", at positions 355 to 776 of the family's 1533-position model. The record is from RNAcentral.
UGGGGAAUAUUGGACAAUGGGCGCAAGCCUGAUCCAGCAAUGCCGCGUGUGUGAAGAAGGCCUGAGGGUUGUAAAGCACUUUCAGUGGGGAGAAAGAUAUUAUCGUUAAUACCGAUGAUGGAUGAUGUUACCCACAGAAGAAGCACCGGCUAACUCUGUGCCAGCAGCCGCGGUAAUACAGAGGGUGCGAGCGUUAAUCGGAAUUACUGGGCGUAAAGGGUGCGUAGGUGGUUUGGUAAGUUAGAUGUGAAAUUCCUGGGCUUAACCUGGGGACUGCGUCUGAUACUGCUAGGCUAGAGUACUGUAGAGGGAAGUGGAAUUUCCGGUGUAGCAGUGAAAUGCGUAGAUAUCGGAAGGAACAUCAGUGGCGAAGGCGACUUCCUGGACAGAUACUGACACUGAGGCACGAAAGCGUGGGGAGCAAACAGG